Molecule: transfer RNA, 82 nt
Filed under: Thiohalophilus thiocyanatoxydans
Lineage: Bacteria; Pseudomonadati; Pseudomonadota; Gammaproteobacteria; Thiohalomonadales; Thiohalophilaceae
Also listed under: 1 other name
Rfam family: tRNA
About the family: Transfer RNA (tRNA) molecules are approximately 80 nucleotides in length. Their secondary structure includes four short double-helical elements and three loops (D, anti-codon, and T loops).
Source: Rfam by way of RNAcentral
GGCGCUCUGGUGGAAUUGGUAGACACGCGGCACUCAAAAUGCCGUGGGGCAACCCGUCCCGGUUCGAGUCCGGGGAGCGCUA